CAUACUAACAGCCGGAGUUGAACUAACCUAAUAACUGUCGUGUUCCGAGUGUCUUUUCCGCCUGGUGUGUGCGGUUUAGUUUACAGCUGGACUGGCGCGGAGAAGUCACGAAAAUAGGCAUGUUGCGGAGACACAAUAAGUGGGAAGCGGUCUUCGGUUCUAAAAUUUUAAUCUGGAAGCCACUGCUAGAAACAGAUAAUCAAUUCUAGCCUACAGGUAUUGAUAUAACCUUUCGUGUAAAUUUUAAACUGAGUACACAAUGCCAGUGUUAAAGGGACAUUCCUGAGUUUGCUGCAAUUUUUAAGAUGUUAUCGACUAACCGAGACUGUUUAACGAUUGUAAUUACAUAUCAAAUAUAUUUUCCUGCAUAACAUAUUAGUGGCUGUAUAUUAAACGUGUUUCUGAUCGUUCUAAUAUUUGUACUAGGUUAAAUUUCAUUUUAUUUCCUACAAUAUAGAAUUAAAUGCAUAUGGUGUAUUUUCAGCGGCAAGUGCCUCUUGCUCCUUGUAAAAUUCGAGCCCUGCAUUUAGUAGCUCUACUGUGGGUUUGUUUUAUCCAUUAGUUAACGUUCCAUUCUUUAUACGCAAGCGCAGUAAUGAGCCGUGUCAGUAAUGAAUACUCCAUUGUGGUUUUUACUGUCUGAACCAAAACUUAAUUUUAUUACAGCCAAAACCUGCUGUUUAACUCUACAGAGACAUAGAGACUUUUUUUUCUUUUUUUUUGGAUUAAUUUGUAUGUUUCAUUUAUUGUCAAAAGCUUAUUUUAAUACUACGAUGACGUAUCCAUAUGUACAUGUAUUAGUAUUAAUAUCUUUGGUUUUUAAAUUUAGUAUAAAUGUGAAUAUUUGCAUGUUUAUUGUAUAUAUCGUCUCUCAUAUUGUAAUUCCCUAUGGAAUGGCUUAUGUACUUUUAUAUGUUUAUUUUAAGUGUAAUUAUGUUGUAUAUGAGGUGAGACGUAAAUAAAGAUAGUUGUCUGUCUA
This is a long non-coding RNA of Gigantopelta aegis, 979 nucleotides long. RefSeq lists it as uncharacterized. The record is from RefSeq and is a predicted model, not a curated record. Lineage: Eukaryota; Metazoa; Mollusca; Gastropoda; Neomphalida; Peltospiridae. The transcript is spliced from 2 exons.